UUUUCUGCUGGUGUUUUAUGAUAAUGCCUAAAACAAGCGCACGUGGGUAUUUUUAUUUUACCGACUGACUCAGCUAAAGAGCUGCUGGACAAGUGGAAAUUUAAUCGGCUUUGAUCAAAGACUACUAUUUCUGUGCUAAUUCAUGUUGUUUUCAUGUGCUAAAAACUUGUUUUAGAGAGGCAUGACUGGCUCCUAUUUGGACUUGUUUUAAUCUGUCUUAUUCUUUAUCAUUUUACAGGAAAUGUUGGCUAAAGUGGAGAUUGGAGGGGUCCUAAAAUACGUGAAAAUUCCAGAGACUGAUGGAUUUUUUCAAUUUGAUAUGUUCCUUCAAGAAGUGAACGACAAGUUUAGUCUGCAGCCAGACAGCUUCAGUGAGGGCCAGUUCACCAUCACAGAUAUGUCAGGAACAGAGGUGGAUGGAGAUAUCUUUGAUGAGCUUGUCAAGUCGGGUGUCCUGACCUUCAAGGUCCCUUUACCAGUAAUGGAUCUGGAUGUUGAGCUGGUUGCAGAUCAAGCAUCCUCCUCUGUAUUGACAUCGCUGUCCCCAACUUCAUCCCAUUCAUCCUUGGUAGUGGCACAGACUGCACUAUCCCCAGCUUUAUCCCAUUCAUCUGAUUCCACCGUUAUUCUGGAGUCCACAAGAAAAAGGAGGAACCCAACAGGGUUAAUGGACCAGAAUGAAGCAAAACAGAUGGUUGAGGGUGUUCUGAGAGCCAAUCCAAAGGGUGAAGAAGUCUUCAAUGAGUAUGACAAGACUAAAACACUAACUGAUGCGACCCGUAAACAAAUGGUGAACAUCCUGGUUGCAGAUAUGGUAGAGCUACAUGGGAGGGUUCCACCGUCAAGUGUAAGGACCAAUUAUGCACUGGGAAUUGUGACUCUUUUUCCAUACCUCCGUGAUCCAUUCUCCAAACUUGGAUAUGAACACUACUAUGAUCCUGAGGGUAAUACCGGCUUCAUUUCAUGGAGGAUCAAGACGGUUCAACGCAACACCUUUGCUGGCUUGCGGGGUCGUUCCAAGACCGUUCUUCAGGAUGGUCCAAAAACCAGGCGAGAAUCUCUGUCAACCUGCCAACAGCUAUUUGGUGAGGAGUGCAGGGAGGCGAUAUCUACAAUAAGACAUUCCAGCGAUGAAUCUGUGGUCAAAGAGAAGAUGAGAGCGACUUUCCAGUAUCGACAGAAGAUGGUUGGGGAUGAUGCAUCAUCUUCAGUCCUGGAUGUGUUCCCUCGUUUUCUUGAUGUACCUGGAUUGAUCGACCAGGAUUUCUCAAUGAUGUUUGGUGACGAAGUGUCUCAGAAGUUCCUGUCCAAGUGGUCAACUUUCUUCAAGCCAAACAUCAUCACAGACUGCAAGACUGCAACGAAUAUGGAUGAGUUGCUGUCGGCAACUGAAUUUGAGUCUGAAGAGAACAAUGGAUGGGACAGUGAUAUGUCUUCAAUCCUUUUGCUGCUGCAGCUACUCCCUCCAACUUCAAGGGGCCAGAAAAAAACUGCCAAGAUCAGUUCAGCUCAAGCAACCAGCCAUCUUGUUAGAUAUCUUAAGGAAGGAGCCAGUAUUACUACCUUCCUUGAGAGUGUCGACGCAAGACAACCGUUCCUCCUUUGCAUCGGUGAGCAAAAGAAGAAUAUCCAAAGGUUCUACCUUAUUAUCGACCGAAAACCAAUCCCGUGCAAGGCACACACAUCAGUAGCAGCUUUUGAUGAACUGUUCAAAGCUCACUACGUCUUCAGUCUCUCAUAUGACGAAGCUCUUUGUAAUUUUUACACAUUCAUCCAAACCACUAUAUACAACAUCGAUGUCGGAAGAGCAAAGGAGAGCCCGCGUGUUAAAGAACUCCGAGCACGACUGCUGCAGCGAAGUGCUGUAACCGAUAAACAGCCUUGAAGAUGUUCACGUGUUUUGUCUGUAAAACACACCACAAAACGUGUGUGGUUCUUUGCCAACAUUUAAAAUUCCAACAUGGUUUAUAUCCUGGCAAAAAGUUGCGUUUAAAAUGUGGAGAGCUCCAUUGCCCAUUAUCAUUUUGUACUUAUAGUGGCUUCCGAAAGCACCUCACCAAGGUGCAUAGUCAGGUUGAUCAAGAGAUUGAUAUUGUUCAUGAUGUUUCUACUCAGCGAGAAUGUGAGGCGGAAUGUUCAAGUGAUUCCCCAAAUGUUGUUGCCACUUUGCAAAAGUCAGAAAGCUCUGUUGAUACAAGUCAACUAUCGUCAAUGUGUGGAUCAAUUGUUGCGCAUUUGCAAGCAUCAGGUCUCUCUGAAAGUGCUGUCCAAACGAUUGUUUGUUCAAUGGAAGAAGUUGUCAAUGAUGUUAAAAGUGAGGCAAAAAAUGCUGUUCUUAAAACAAUGUCUUCUGAAAAUACAAGUUCAGACACUCCAGGAUCCAGAAUAGAUAAUUGUUUUGAUCAAUUAGGUAAUCCUUUUACAGCAUUAAACACAGAGUCAAAAAGGCGUAAAUAUUAUAAUGAAAAAUGGGAAAUAGUUGAACCUAAAGAAUGUGUCCUUGGUGUGAGGCUGGAUUUGCGCAGAGAUAGAAUAACAGGGGUAUACAAUGAGAUUCCUGUAACGGACAAGUGUACGUAUGUACCCAUUCUGAGUACACUUAAAUCCAUAUUCAAAAAUGACCAAGUAAGAGAAAGCUUUCUACGGGACAAACAGAGUGAAAAUGGCAUUUACAAAGACAUCAAUGAUGGGUCAUAUUGCCAAAACCAUGCCCUGUUCUCACAGCAAAAACAUGCACUACAGAUUCUACUAUAUUACGAUGACUUUGAAACGGCUAACCCUCUCGGUUCCAAAAAGGGGAUCCACAAACUAGGUUGUGUCUACUUUACUUUAAAAAAUCUUCCACCCAAGUGUAACUCAGUACUGAUGAAUGUACAUCUGGCAGCUCUGUUUCAUUCUGAAGAUCUGAAAAAAUAUGGUUUUGAUGUGAUACUAAAGCCUCUUAUUGAUGAUCUGAAAUUUUUAGAAACCAAAGGCUUAAAGCUUCCUUCUUUUGAACAACCAUUGUUUGGCUCAGUUAUUCAAGUAACGGGAGAUAAUUUGGCUUUAAAUGGCUUGUUGGGGUUUGUGGAAUCAUUCAGUGCAACCCAUUUCUGUAGAUUUUGUUUAAUCAGUAAGCAAGAAAUUCAAUCUAUAUUUACUGAAGAUCAUCCUGGGUUAAUUAUCCGUUCCAAAGAGCUUUAUACUGAACAUUGUAAGGCACUAAAUGAAAAUCCUGAACUGCGGUCAAUAUAUGGUGUUAAAAAGUCAUGUGUGCUCAACUCCUUACAGUAUUUCCAUUGCACUGACAACUAUGCUGUUGACAUAAUGCACGAUCUGCUGGAGGGUGUAGUACAGUACGAACUAAAGCUGAAUUUUGAGUACCUUGUUAAACAGGGCUAUAUCUCUUUGAACACAUUGUCAAACAGGAUACAGAGCUUUAAUUAUGGUUACACGGAGCGUAGAAACAAACCAAGUGGGAUAAAAAUGGAUGAUAAGAGCAAAGAUCUAGGUUUGAAUGCCAUCCAGUCAUGGUGUCUCCUGCGUAACGCUCCACUAAUGUUUGGUGAUGUCAUUGAAAAGAAUAACAGUUACUGGAACUUUCUGCUGCUUUUGAUCCAGAUUGUCAAUAUAGUGUUUUCCUACACCAUAACUGAUGGAAUGAUAUGCUACUUGAAACAUCUGAUCUGUGAUCACCAUACUCUGUUCAAAGCAUUGUUUCCUGACAAGAGGUUGAUUCCCAAGCACCACUUGAUGGUACACUAUCCUAGAUGCAUACAAAAAAUUGGCCCUCUUAUCCAUAUGUGGUGCAUGCGAUUUGAAGCUAAACACAAUUUUUUCAAAAGAUGUGGCAAAAAUUUUAAGAAUCUCACUAAAUCAUUAGUGAAACAACAUCAGCGUCAAUUGGCAUUUAACUAUGAAAAUUAUUGCUUUAGAAGGUUUGAAUUUGGUCCUACAUCAUCCAAAAACAUCUGCAACUUGCAAGGUGGGAAAGAAAUUAGUGAGACAUUACAUUUGGAUGCCUGUUCAAAUGUUACAAGUACAAGGUGGGUCAGAUAUUACGGUACUGAGUACCAGGUUGGGUUGUACUUAUGCACUGGAUGUACCGAUGAUCUUCCUGUGUUCAAAAAGAUCUGUGAUAUUAUAAUACAUGAACAGCAUGCUUUCAUAAUAUCCUGUAAUGUACAAACAAUGUACUAUGAUGACCACUUUAGUGCAUACUGUAUAGAAGACCAAAUGAAUGUGUUUUCUGUCAUAUCUGUGAAGGCACUGACUUAUUUUAGACCAUUUGACAAGCAAUGCUCUAAUGACAAUAGUCAAAGAGCAUACAUAGUGCCUUAUUGUUACAUUUAGAUAAAUGUACAGCAAUGAAAAAAGAUUUGGUAAUGUUGAUGCAUUUGAAGAAAUAAAAAUGUUAAAGUAGUGAACUUGUCAUUCGUAUUUCUAAUUAUUGACAUUUCAUUUAGAGAUUUUUUUUUGGUGUGGG
Gasterosteus aculeatus aculeatus (three-spined stickleback) is the source of this 4465-nucleotide long non-coding RNA. The record is from Ensembl. Lineage: Eukaryota; Metazoa; Chordata; Actinopteri; Perciformes; Gasterosteidae.